RNAcentral lists this ribosomal RNA (273 nucleotides) under uncultured Staphylococcus sp. RNAcentral's name for it is "partial 16S ribosomal RNA". It matches the Rfam family "Bacterial small subunit ribosomal RNA", at positions 89 to 354 of the family's 1533-position model. Lineage: Bacteria; Bacillati; Bacillota; Bacilli; Caryophanales; Staphylococcaceae. The record is from RNAcentral.
ACGUUAGCGGCGGACGGGUGAGUAACACGUGGGUAACCUACCUAUAAGACUGGGAUAACUUCGGGAAACCGGAGCUAAUACCGGAUAAUAUUUCGAACCGCAUGGUUCGAUAGUGAAAGGUGGUUUUGCUAUCACUUAUAGAUGGACCCGCGCCGUAUUAGCUAGUUGGUAAGGUAACGGCUUACCAAGGCGACGAUACGUAGCCGACCUGAGAGGGUGAUCGGCCACACUGGAACUGAGACACGGUCCAGACUCCUACGGGAGGCAGCAGAG